UACGGGGGGGCGAAGCGUUGUUCGGAAUUACUGGGCGUAAAGGGCUCGUAGGCGGCCAGCUAAGUCAUACGUGAAAUCCCUCGGCUUAACCGGGGAACUGCGUCUGAUACUGGAUGGCUUGAGUUCGGGAGAGGGAUGCGGAAUUCCAGGUGUAGCGGUGAAAUGCGUAGAUAUCUGGAGGAACACCGGUGGCGAAGGCGGCAUCCUGGACCGAUACUGACGCUGAGGAGCGAAAGCCAGGGGAGCAAACGGG
Molecule: ribosomal RNA, 253 nt
Filed under: uncultured bacterium
Lineage: Bacteria
Description: partial 16S ribosomal RNA
Rfam family: Bacterial small subunit ribosomal RNA
Source: RNAcentral